RNAcentral lists this ribosomal RNA (233 nucleotides) under uncultured bacterium. Its description in RNAcentral is "partial 16S ribosomal RNA". It matches the Rfam family "Bacterial small subunit ribosomal RNA", at positions 100 to 334 of the family's 1533-position model. The record is from RNAcentral.
CGGGACGGGUGAGUAAUGUCUGGGAAACUGCCCGAUGGAGGGGGAUAACUACUGGAAACGGUAGCUAAUACCGCAUAACGUCGCAAGACCAAAGAGGGGGACCUUCGGGCCUCUUGCCAUCGGAUGUGCCCAGAUGGGAUUAGCUAGUAGGUGGGGUAACGGCUCACCUAGGCGACGAUCUCUAGCUGGUCUGAGAGGAUGACCAGCCACACUGGAACUGAGACACGGUCCAG